CCUACGGGCGGCUGCAGUGGGGAAUAUUGCACAAUGGGCGCAAGCCUGAUGCAGCCAUGCCGCGUGUGUGAAGAAGGCCUUCGGGUUGUAAAGCACUUUCAGCGGGGAGGAAGGCGGUGAGGUUAAUAACCUCAUCGAUUGACGUUACCCGCAGAAGAAGCACCGGCUAACUCCGUGCCAGCAGCCGCGGUAAUACGGAGGGUGCAAGCGUUAAUCGGAAUUACUGGGCGUAAAGCGCACGCAGGCGGUCUGUCAAGUCGGAUGUGAAAUCCCCGGGCUCAACCUGGGAACUGCAUUCGAACCUGGCGGGUUAGAGCCUUGUAGAGGGGGGUAGAAUUCCAGGUGUAGCGGUGAAAUGCGUAGAGAUCGGGAGGAAUACCGGUGGCGAAGGCGGCCCCCUGGACAAAGACGGACGCUCAGGGGCGAAAGCGUGGGGAGCAAACAGGAUUAGAACCCCAGUAGUC
This 464-nucleotide ribosomal RNA is filed under the name uncultured Klebsiella sp. RNAcentral's name for it is "bacterial SSU rRNA". It matches the Rfam family "Bacterial small subunit ribosomal RNA", at positions 338 to 795 of the family's 1533-position model. The record is from RNAcentral. Lineage: Bacteria; Pseudomonadati; Pseudomonadota; Gammaproteobacteria; Enterobacterales; Enterobacteriaceae.